GUGAACCUGCGGAAGGAUCAUUGUCGAAACNUGCCCAGCAGACGACUCGCGAACCGUGGUUACAUUGCGCCGAGGGGCGACGGGGCCACUGCCCCCCGCCGUUCGGCAAAAGUCCCGGGAGGCACCGGAGGCAAACGCCUCGGGCGCCCGACGGGACUCACAACCAAACCCCGGCGCAGAACGCGCCAAGGAAAACGAAAUCGAGGAGGAUCGUCCCUGCGCUCCCGGAGACGGNGCGCGCUCGGACGGUCCGCCGGACAGUCACGAAUCAAAACGACUCUCGGCAACGGAUAUCUCGGCUCUCGCAUCGAUGAAGAACGUAGCAAAAUGCGAUACUUGGUGUGAAUUGCAGAAUCCCGUGAACCAUCGAGUCUUUGAACGCAAGUUGCGCCCGAAGCCUUCUGGCCGAGGGCACGUCUGCCUGGGUGUCACACAACGUUGUCCCACCACAAACCCAUCCCGAGAGGGAAGGGAGGGACGGAUGCUGGUCUCCCGUGAGUCCCCCCUCGCGGCUGGCCCAAACGCAUGUCCGCGAGACGGGAGCCGCGACUAACGGUGGUUGAACGACCCUCGGCUCAGGUCGUGGCCUCCCGUCCCGAGAGCGGGCAACAAGACCCCGCGCGUCGCUUGGAACGCCACAACUGCGACCCCAGGUCAGGCGGGACUACCCGCUGNNUUUAGCAUAUCA
This 688-nucleotide ribosomal RNA is filed under the name Byrsonima sericea. RNAcentral's name for it is "eukaryotic LSU rRNA". The stretch from base 276 to 431 matches the Rfam family "5.8S ribosomal RNA". Lineage: Eukaryota; Viridiplantae; Streptophyta; Magnoliopsida; Malpighiales; Malpighiaceae. The record is from RNAcentral.